Molecule: transfer RNA, 73 nt
Filed under: Camelus bactrianus (Bactrian camel)
Lineage: Eukaryota; Metazoa; Chordata; Mammalia; Artiodactyla; Camelidae
Also listed under: 2 other names
Rfam family: tRNA
About the family: Transfer RNA (tRNA) molecules are approximately 80 nucleotides in length. Their secondary structure includes four short double-helical elements and three loops (D, anti-codon, and T loops). Further hydrogen bonds mediate the characteristic L-shaped molecular structure. tRNAs have two regions of fundamental functional importance: the anti-codon, which is responsible for specific mRNA codon recognition, and the 3' end, to which the tRNAs corresponding amino acid is attached (by aminoacyl-tRNA synthetases). tRNAs cope with the degeneracy of the genetic code in two manners: having more than one tRNA (with a specific anti-codon) for a particular amino acid; and 'wobble' base-pairing, i.e. permitting non-standard base-pairing at the 3rd anti-codon position.
Source: Rfam by way of RNAcentral
GAGGGUAUGGCUCAAGUGAUAGAGCGCAUGCUUAGCAUGCAUGAGGUCCUGGGUUCAAUCCCCAGUACCUCCU